This is a non-coding RNA of Callithrix jacchus (white-tufted-ear marmoset), 582 nucleotides long. The record is from RefSeq and is a predicted model, not a curated record. NCBI's taxonomy places the organism in Eukaryota, Metazoa, Chordata, Mammalia, Primates, Cebidae.
CUUGCUUUGUCACCCAGGCUGGGAUGCAGUGGUGUGAUCUUGACUUACUGCAACCUCUGCCUCCCGGGUUCAAGAGAUUCUCCUGCCUCGGCUUCCUGAGUACCUGGCUAUACAGGCAAAGGCGAGACGCGGCUCUAAACGAUGGCAGCUGCUUUCCCGGAGAGGAACCGGAACCAGCUGGCUAGCGUGACUCUUCUCUGCUCACUACUAGCACGAGGCUUCCCCAGAGCUCACCUUCUCCAGAAGAGUGGAACAUCAAGGACUCUGAUCGCAUUAUUUCCUCCACAUUUCCAUUCCAUUUCAGAACACAUAGCCCAUUCUCAACAGUGUUUGAAAAAUGGAAAUCUACUGUUGAUCAACUGCACAGUCUGAGAAUUAUUUUUAAAUCAUUUUUCUCUUAAUAUGACAUCACUGACUUAAUAUAUGGACAAGAAUGCAAGCCAUCAUAAUAAUUGUUAUCCCACAUUGAUUUAUUAUUCAACCAUUUAUCAUAGUUUUAAACCUUAUCAAAAAGACACAAGUUUUACUAUCAUUUACACCUGGACUUUGCUCAACCGUCAAUAAAUCUCAUGCCACAUCUGA